CACGUAGGGUGCGAGCGUUGUCCGGAAUUAUUGGGCGUAAAGAGCUCGUAGGCGGUGUGUCGCGUCGGCCGUGAAAACCUGCAGCUUAACUGUGGGCUUGCGGUCGAUACGGGCAUCACUGGAGUUCGGCAGGGGAGACUGGAAUUCCUGGUGUAGCGGUGAAAUGCGCAGAUAUCAGGAGGAACACCGGUGGCGAAGGUGGGUCUCUGGGCCGAUACUGACGCUGAGGAGCGAAAGCGUGGGGAGCGAACAGG
This 254-nucleotide ribosomal RNA is filed under the name uncultured bacterium. RNAcentral's name for it is "partial 16S ribosomal RNA". It matches the Rfam family "Bacterial small subunit ribosomal RNA", at positions 524 to 776 of the family's 1533-position model. The record is from RNAcentral.